AACGAACGCUGGCGGCAUGCCUAACACAUGCAAGUCGAACGAGACCUUCGGGUCUAGUGGCGCACGGGUGCGUAACGCGUGGGAACCUGCCCUUAGGUUCGGAAUAACUCCCCGAAAGGGGUGCUAAUACCGGAUAAUGUCUUCGGACCAAAGAAUUAUCGCCUUUGGAUGGGCCCGCGUUGGAUUAGCUAGUUGGUAGGGUAAAAGCCUACCAAGGCGACGAUCCAUAGCUGGUCUGAGAGGAUGAUCAGCCACACUGGGACUGAGACACGGCCCAGACUCCUACGGGAGGCAGCAGUGGGGAAUAUUGGACAAUGGGCGAAAGCCUGAUCCAGCAAUGCCGCGUGAGUGAUGAAGGCCUUAGGGUUGUAAAGCUCUUUUACCCGGGAUGAUAAUGACAGUACCGGGAGAAUAAGCGCCGGCUAACUCCGUG
RNAcentral lists this ribosomal RNA (433 nucleotides) under uncultured bacterium. RNAcentral describes it as "partial 16S ribosomal RNA". It matches the Rfam family "Bacterial small subunit ribosomal RNA", at positions 29 to 507 of the family's 1533-position model. The record is from RNAcentral.